GGUCCGCUGGCUCAAUGGCAGAGCGUCUGACUACGAAUCAGGAGGUUCCAAGUUCGACCCCUGGGUGGAUCG
This 72-nucleotide transfer RNA is filed under the name Bombardia bombarda. It matches the Rfam family "tRNA". From Rfam's summary of the family: Transfer RNA (tRNA) molecules are approximately 80 nucleotides in length. Their secondary structure includes four short double-helical elements and three loops (D, anti-codon, and T loops). The record is from Rfam by way of RNAcentral. Lineage: Eukaryota; Fungi; Ascomycota; Sordariomycetes; Sordariales; Lasiosphaeriaceae.